RNAcentral lists this ribosomal RNA (197 nucleotides) under uncultured bacterium. RNAcentral describes it as "partial 16S ribosomal RNA". It matches the Rfam family "Bacterial small subunit ribosomal RNA", at positions 328 to 539 of the family's 1533-position model. The record is from RNAcentral.
ACGCUCGACACCUACGGGAGGAGCAGUGGGGAAUAUUGCACAAUGGGGGAAACCCUGAUGCAGCAACGCCGCGUGAAGGAAGACGGUUUUCGGAUUGUAAACUUCUGUUCUUAGUGAAGAUAGUGACGGUAGCUAAGGAGCAAGCCACGGCUAACUACGUGCCCGCAGCCGCGGUAAUCUGAGCGGGCUGGCAAGGC